Molecule: long non-coding RNA, 424 nt
Organism: Anneissia japonica
Lineage: Eukaryota; Metazoa; Echinodermata; Crinoidea; Comatulida; Comatulidae
Exons: 3
Source: RefSeq, a predicted model, not a curated record
GGUGAUAUGAAUUGGUGAUAUCACUUGAUGAUAGGUAUGUGAUCAGACCUUGGGAUAUGUUGGCGAUGUAUUAGUAACUUUUCUUAUAUGAUGUAUUUAUGAUAUGAUGUACGGAAUGGCAAAAGAAAUUGUAGUGGUUAGAUUGUAAUAGUUUGUUUUUGUCAAUAGUUGCUACUUCAUGACCCAACAAGGUUUAAAAUUUAUACUACAAUUUUUUUAUUUACGAAGGUUUCAGAGGAUUCAAGCGUAUACUGGUGGAGAUAUUGCAUUCGUCUGGAGAACCUAGGUACAGAAACUGUUCAGUUGCGAGAACGACAUUGGAGGAUAUUCAGCUUAUCGGGGACGCUGGAAACUGUGAGAGGCCGGGGAGUUGUGGGCCAGGAACCAAUUUUAUCUAAGGAACAGCCAGCAUUUCAGUACAGCA